GUGGGUAUAGCUCAGCGGUAGAACACGUGCUUAGCAUGUGCAAUGUCCUGGGUUCAAUCUCCAGUACCUCCA
This 72-nucleotide transfer RNA is filed under the name Camelus bactrianus (Bactrian camel). It matches the Rfam family "tRNA". From Rfam's summary of the family: Transfer RNA (tRNA) molecules are approximately 80 nucleotides in length. Their secondary structure includes four short double-helical elements and three loops (D, anti-codon, and T loops). Further hydrogen bonds mediate the characteristic L-shaped molecular structure. tRNAs have two regions of fundamental functional importance: the anti-codon, which is responsible for specific mRNA codon recognition, and the 3' end, to which the tRNAs corresponding amino acid is attached (by aminoacyl-tRNA synthetases). tRNAs cope with the degeneracy of the genetic code in two manners: having more than one tRNA (with a specific anti-codon) for a particular amino acid; and 'wobble' base-pairing, i.e. permitting non-standard base-pairing at the 3rd anti-codon position. The record is from Rfam by way of RNAcentral. RNAcentral also lists the same sequence under 2 other names. Lineage: Eukaryota; Metazoa; Chordata; Mammalia; Artiodactyla; Camelidae.